UACGGGGGGGGCAAGCGUUGUUCGGAAUUACUGGGCGUAAAGGGCUCGUAGGCGGCCAACUAAGUCGAACGUGAAAUCCCUGGGCUCAACCCAGGAACUGCGUCCGAUACUGGUUGGCUUGAAUCCGGGAGAGGGAUGUGGAAUUCCAGGUGUAGCGGUGAAAUGCGUAGAUAUCUGGAGGAACACCGGUGGCGAAGGCGACAUCCUGGACCGGUAUUGACGCUGAGGCGCGAAAGCCAGGGGAGCAAACGGG
Molecule: ribosomal RNA, 253 nt
Filed under: uncultured bacterium
Lineage: Bacteria
Description: partial 16S ribosomal RNA
Rfam family: Bacterial small subunit ribosomal RNA
Source: RNAcentral